UCAUUUUCUUCAAGAGAGUUCUAGAAGAGAGAAGAAGAAAAAGAAACCUUGAGCUAGAGAGGGAGAAGGCCACGGAUUUGGAGAGAAAAAAGCCCAAAACGGACACCAAGCAGUCCACGCAAUUUCAGCGCAUCUAGAGAAGUUCCGAGGCGAGUUUUGGCGAGUUUUGGCCAAUUUCGGGAAAGAUAAGGUUAAGGAGGUAUCAAGGCAAGCCGGAUUUCAAUUAAUCCCGAAAGAGGUACAGGCGCGCGCUUUGGGGAUCCGCCAGCUUAGGAUUUCACUCAGUAAAUUUGGAAGAAGCUUCAUUGAAUCGGAGCCGAGUUUUGGUACUAAACCUUCUAUGUAUAUAUUUAUUUGAUUACGGUUACGGUGGAGGCCCUGUCUCGCCUUAUGUUACUGUUCUUUCUCUUAGAGGUCUGUAGACAUGUAUGUGGGUUGUAUAUGUAUGCGUGUAAGGUUGUGCCUAUAUGUUACGACAGCCUUGUCGGCUUAUAUAUUGUCUUGUCUAUUGGUACGCUAUGACUCAAAUAGGAGACAUGUUUACUUAUAGUUAGCAGGGGUAUAGGCGAGUGUCCAGUUCGGACACCCAUCACGGCCUAUGGGGUUGGGUCGUGACAUUAUACAUUA
Molecule: long non-coding RNA, 627 nt
Organism: Solanum dulcamara
Lineage: Eukaryota; Viridiplantae; Streptophyta; Magnoliopsida; Solanales; Solanaceae
Exons: 4
Source: RefSeq, a predicted model, not a curated record